GGCCCAGCUUCGCGCUCGGGCCACAUCUGACUGAGGGUCGGUCGAUUGAUGAACGAAGGCGGUUGUCUUGGGUGCUCGAAAGGGUGCCCAUGCCCGCCGACUCUGGGGGCCGCGCGGCUUCAUUGCCCGCGAUCCCUUAAAUCGAAAUCGAAUCGGUGGCUUCACGGCGUUCGAAUCCUCCCUUUCGAAAAACAAACAGUUGUUCGUGUACGUGAGAACGAGACGAGUGCCUCGACGAUCUCGCUCGCGGUGACUGCGGACGCGUCCUUGUACUGAGCUAUACUCCAAAUGUGUCGGAGACUCGAAAGCUAGCGAACUCGUCCUUUAAGUAACCGCCGUGUGUGCAGUGUGUGUGUCGGUUCGGACGAGAGGGUUAGAUGGCGAGUGAGCGAUGCCGGGGUUGGUUCUGUGCGAGGAUGGAGUGUCCGCGAAGCCGUUUGAUUGUUGGCUCUCGCGCUAUACCGUGUGUGAAGCAUUAUAAGCCUCUCGAACACUCGUACGCCGGGCGUGUUGUUAACUCAACCACCGCGUAUGCGAGUUAUUAGUAGGGCCGGAGCGCGAGUUUUUAAAAGCUGUAUCAGUCAGCUCCGUUAACUCGUCGGAGUAAGGGCUUUUUCUGAAGGGAAGUCAAAGACUCGCAUAAAGUACACUACGAUCGACCGUUUAAUACAAAAAAUCAUAUCUGACCUCAGUUUAGGUGAGACUACCCGCUGAACUUAAGCAUAUCAGUAAGCGGAGGAAAAGAAACUAACAAGGAUUCCCUUAGUAGCGGCGAGCGAACAGGGAAGAGCUCAGCACCGAACCUCGCGCCCGGCAAAGCGGACGCAGAGGAAUGUGGUGUUUGGGAGAACCGUGCGUGUCUGUCCGGUAUAUUCAUCCAAGUCUCCAUGAACGGGGCGAGCAACCCACAGAGGGUGUCAGGCCCGUAGACCAGAUGAGCCGAGACCGUACAUCGGGUUC
RNAcentral lists this ribosomal RNA (960 nucleotides) under Chydorus brevilabris. RNAcentral's name for it is "eukaryotic LSU rRNA". The stretch from base 684 to 960 matches the Rfam family "Eukaryotic large subunit ribosomal RNA", at positions 1 to 254 of the family's 3401-position model. The record is from RNAcentral. Lineage: Eukaryota; Metazoa; Arthropoda; Branchiopoda; Diplostraca; Chydoridae.